Molecule: unclassified non-coding RNA, 2334 nt
Filed under: Hevea brasiliensis (rubber tree)
Lineage: Eukaryota; Viridiplantae; Streptophyta; Magnoliopsida; Malpighiales; Euphorbiaceae
Source: RNAcentral
GAAUUUACAAAUAUAGCCUCUCUUUCGGAUUGGGACCCACACGCUCUGCUAGUAUUUGCUUCCGAUUCCAAGGAUAGCUUCAAUAAUGGGCUUCCAUGCCCCAAGACCAUCUUCUCUUCUAAAACCCUAAAUUUACCAUACCCAUCUCGAAAUCUCUCAACACUAUGCUAUGCCGGUACUUCAGCUCUCUUCCAGGGCUCCGAAACUUAUCAAAAAUUCCUUCAAAGUAUAGGCCCAAAGCAAUCCGUGAAGCUCAGCAGGCUCUCACAGACUACCUCCACUCCACGAGGUUAUUGCCGUUCGCCUACGCCGAGCACAUUAGCAAGAAUUCCCUCGUCUCUCUUUCCAAUCUCAUUGCCAGCAUUGACUUCUCGGCCUCUGAUUUCUCCAGGUCCGUGAGAAAAUUCCUCAGGUACCAUCCCAUCAACGAAUUCGAGUUCUUUUAUGAAAGCAUUGGUAUCGAUUACAAUGAGGUUCACGGGUUUUUGCCCACAAAAAAUUUUUUCUUUUCUGAGGAUGGAAGUGUGUUAAGUGCAGCUUGUGCGCUUGCUGGGUUUGGGUUUCCAUGGAACAAGUUAGGCAACUUGUAUAAGGAGGAGAGUUCUAUUUUUAGUAGAGGUUCGGAGGAGUUAUCCUCUAGGCUUGAUGGGUUUAGGGAAUAUGGAUUUAGUAAUAUUUCAGUGAUUGGUAUUUGUCUGGCUUUUCCUUACGUGUUGAGUGGUGAAUUGGUUGGGGAAAUUGAUGCUUUAUUUGAUGAUAUGAAAAGGUUCUUUUUAGACUUCGAUAUGGGGAGUUGCGUUGAAGGAAAUGUGGAUGCUUGGUAUGAGAUUUGUAUGAAAAUUCGGGUGUUCUAUGAUUUGGGUUUUGAGAAGGGGAAGCUAGGGGAUUUGAUAGGUAAGAGUAAAAGCAUUUUUGUCGAUUAUCCAGUGAAGGUUUUUGUGCAAAAGGCUGAGUUUUUUGGUAGAUUUGGUGUUAGAAAUGAAGAUGUUGGCCUGUUGCUAAUUCAGAGACCGGAAAUUUGGAAUUAUGAUAUGGAAAAGCCCUUGAUUUCAGUUAAAGGAUUACUUAAACAUUUUGGAUUUAGUGAUGAAGAGGUAAUAGUUAUUGCCCACAAGUACCCUCAUGUAUUGGGCAGAAAUAAAAUGGCAAAUUUACCUCACGUGAUGAGAGCUAUGGAUUUGCAUGUGUGGUUUUUCAAUAAAAUCAAGGAUGGAAAUCAUCAAUUAAUAGCUAGUUAUGCAAUGAGAGACCCUGAUGAAGAUUUGGAUAAAGAAUUUAGUGAUAGCUUGGAGAGGAUUCGAGUUUCGAGAACCCCUACUCAUACAAUGUACAAAGUGGAUUUUUUGCUUGGAAUUGGAUUUGGAGAAAAUGCUUUAACUGCCAAGGUCUUGGCCCAUAUGCAUGGUACUAGUAGUGAACUGCAGGAGCGAUUUGAUUGCCUUCUUCAUUUGGGGAUUGCAUUCUCGAAGCUCUGUAUGAUGAUAAGAACGAUGCCAAAGAUCCUAAACCAAAAGCCAGAAAUGCUAGAGCAGAAAGUGAACUUCCUCUGCCAGGAUUUGGGAUCCUCAUUGCAGGAACUGGAUAUAUUUCCAGCAUAUCUGUGUUUUAAUUUGGAGAGCCGAAUUAAACCCAGGUGCAGAUUCCAUAUGUGGCUUACAGAUAAAGGUUUGUGUACACGUAAGUACUCCAUGGCAAGUAUUGUUGCAACUAGCGAAAAAAAUUUUGUAGCUCGCAUUUAUGGAAUUCACCCAGCUGCUCUAAAACAUUGGUUUGAAUGUUUCUCAUACUAAACACCAGUUGAUGAAUGAAAAGUGCAUUAGACACUGAUUUGGUCAAUGCAGCUUAUUAGCACUUCAGUGUGGACAGGGAAUUUGUUUGUUACAAUUAUGGAAUCAGUAUAUAGAAAUUUAUCAUUUAAACCUUCCUGGAUUGACAUAUUGUAUAUUUAGAUUUAUUAAUAGCCAUGACUGGUGCAAGAAAUGUUUUCCAUGGAUCCUCCUUCCUGGCCUUUGUGGCACUGUAUGUAUCGGUUCCUAUAUCAAGCUAUAUCCUUACAAAACUCAUACCAAUUUUGAGCAGCAGCUGGCCAUGCUUCUGAUAUUGCAAGCAGUUUGUCAUAAUGGCAAUGAUAAAACCUUCAAGACAGAUUCACCUCUUUAAAGUUAAACAACAACUAGCAUAGACUGACGACAGUUAUUACAUGGGCCUAUUUGUGUCCUCAUAGCUAUUUUAUUUUUGCUUGAUGUGUGUGUUGGCUGCAACUCUGCAUGUGAGAUCGAUUGGUUUGAUUAUUUAUUUUUAAUUUUUAAUUUAAAAUAUAUUUUUUAAUUUAUA